This 208-nucleotide ribosomal RNA is filed under the name uncultured bacterium. RNAcentral describes it as "partial 16S ribosomal RNA". It matches the Rfam family "Bacterial small subunit ribosomal RNA", at positions 568 to 774 of the family's 1533-position model. The record is from RNAcentral.
CUCGUAGGUGGUUUGUCGCGUCGUCUGUGAAAUUCUGGGGCUUAACUCCGGGCGUGCAGGCGAUACGGGCAUAACUUGAGUACUGUAGGGGUAACUGGAAUUCCUGGUGUAGCGGUGAAAUGCGCAGAUAUCAGGAGGAACACCGAUGGCGAAGGCAGGUUACUGGGCAGUUACUGACGCUGAGGAGCGAAAGCAUGGGUAGCGAACA